CUCUGUCUGGGAGAGCGUGCAGAGUUUCAAGGCGUCUGACUGAAAACUUGGGAAUUCUGUAAUCUCACCAUGUCGUUUGAAGGCCACCAUAACAAACAUAUGCAAUAUGGUUUCGGGUGACAUUUCAGGUCCUCCUGUGAACUGAAGGCACCAGAAUGGGAAAUGGUAUCAGACCUGGGAGUAUUCAUAAACUUAAACCUAAGAAAACCUAAAAGAUGAACGUCCACUAGAUGGUGCCGCACCCGUUUUCAUGCUGAUGGAGGACUGUUGGAGCUCCCAUAUGGCAGGACUAAAGAAGGAAUGGAGGUCUUCAAUCUUGCGCAGUUCUACAGUUUGAAAACUGGUGAGAAGUUUGGGCUGUACUGGAAGCCAUAAACCUUCCUUUGUGGCGAUAUAGGUUUGAUAAAGUAAUGUAUCAGUGUUUGUGUGCCAUUUAAUGUAGUAAUUAAUACAAUAAAGAUCCUGUCAUAAUGUUGUA
RNAcentral lists this long non-coding RNA (478 nucleotides) under Danio rerio (zebrafish). Its description in RNAcentral is "si:ch211-209a2.1, transcript variant 3 (si:ch211-209a2.1)". The record is from RNAcentral. Lineage: Eukaryota; Metazoa; Chordata; Actinopteri; Cypriniformes; Danionidae.